RNAcentral lists this ribosomal RNA (253 nucleotides) under uncultured bacterium. RNAcentral's name for it is "partial 16S ribosomal RNA". It matches the Rfam family "Bacterial small subunit ribosomal RNA", at positions 524 to 776 of the family's 1533-position model. The record is from RNAcentral.
UACGUAGGGUGCGAGCGUUAAUCGGAAUUACUGGGCGUAAAGCGUGCGCAGGCGGUUCGUGAUGUCUGGUGUGAAAUCCCCGGGCUUAACCUGGGAACUGCAUUUGUGACUGCAUAGCUAGAGUACGGUAGAGGGGGAUGGAAUUCCGCGUGUAGCAGUGAAAUGCGUAGAUAUGCGGAGGAACACCGAUGGCGAAGGCAAUCCCCUGGACCUGUACUGACGCUCAUGCACGAAAGCGUGGGGAGCAAACAGG